GCAGCACAACGGCUUCCUGACGUGCUGUUUGAACCAUGUUAUCGGAGCA
RNAcentral lists this non-coding RNA (49 nucleotides) under unclassified sequences. The record is from RNAcentral.